AAUAAAUAAAUCUAUGUUAAAUUUACAUAUUCUUUACUAUCUUAAAGAAUGUGUAAUAGGAAAGGUAAAAGUCAGAUUAGUGGAGUAUUAUCUAAUCAUUAGAACUUAAGAUACUGACAUGGAAAAUUGUCUGCCACAUUGGACCUGGAAAAACAAAGUAGAUCAUAAGGUGGUAUAUGCAACACAUUAUAUAGAGUUGCACAUAAUAUGCACUCAAUAAAUGUGUAUAUUACUAUUGUAUUAUUGCUUGUACUAACUCUUAUGUGUAGUCUGCUUUCUCUUAUAGAAAUCUGUGCAGAUGCAGGACCAUCACCUUUGCCAUGUGGUACUUUCUUAGCCUGUGCAUAUCUGAAAAACAUAAACAUGCUUAGCAGUAUGAGGUAAGAAUUAAUUGCACCAAUAAAAAUUCAUUGGGCCAAAUGGAAUUUCAACAGACUGAAAGAUUCUUAGAUGUUUUCUGGAAGGCUAAGUUGACUUAAGAAUGCGUAUGAAGAAAUAAUCUGUAAAAAAUACUACAGGCCAAUCGGCAUCUGGAAUCAUGAAAAUAUUAAUGAUUCUUCCCAAGCCAUAUAUUCUGGAAAAUUCCAACUAAUGAAUGCACAGCCACAUUAGCAAGCAGGAGACAUGAACAGUGGAUAGACACCAUUUUUCUCCUUUGAACAACUCAUGAACUGAAUGUGAGUUGAAAGUAAGAAAUACUAAGUGUGUUUUCUAAGGAAUUCCCACAUACUUUAAAUAAAGACUUCUGGAUCCACAAGACUUCAUUUUGUGACACAGGGGUUCACAGAUCAAACAGUUCAGAAAAGCUUCAAACUUCACUAAAAGCCUAGAAAGAUCAGAAAGGAUGAAGGGAGUUCACUGCCCAAUAUCUGCUCCUGAGGAUGGGAGUAGGAUAAUGCAUAUAUAGUCGAUUAACUAGGAGGGAUGGUGAGACAUAGAAGAAAUCAGAGUCUAGGCUAAAUAUCAGGGCAGCAUCUUGGCAAUGAAAGCUCCUGCCUUUGGAACACUCCCCUAAGGGAAACAGGAGAUGCUGCUGCUUCAUAAAAAGAAUUAAAUUGCCUAGAUAAAAGCACGAGCGUGCACUGAGUGAUCUCUUGCCCUUUAACUAGGACUUCGGACAUACAUAGUACUUCAAAAUUGUUUGUUUUAAUGCAGAAUCAUCUGAAUGCACAGUAAACCAAUGCUAAAGCCUGGCUAGAAUAGAUCGUCCUACAGAAUUUGAUAAUCUUGGAAUUAGGGGGGACCUUAAAAAAUGCACUUAUUUAUGAAAUACAGAUACUGCUUCCUAUGUACAGGCCAGGUACAAUUUUAAACAUGUUUUUAUAAAUAAUAAGUCAAUCACAGUUGGCAGGAUAAUGGAAUAGGAGGCCCCCUGCUCAUAUACCCACACAGCAAGAAGCAUUUGGCAGCCAUCCACUGAUAGAAGUGCCUCAGUGGGAGCUUUGGGAUCUAGGGAGCAGAUGUUAAAAUUCUGGUAUAGGCCAAAACCAAGGAGGCUCAUUUUAAUAGGGCAGGCCCACACUUGGGUGGCAAUUUUGCUGACUAUGGAGUAAGCCAUUGAUCAAAAAUGAACGCAUCCCCUGUGGACCCAGCUACAAUCCUGUUUCACCUUGGUCCUGCCACCAGAACCAUCCUCCAAGGAGGAGUCAUGCUCACCCAUGCCUAAAGUGACAGGUCCACCACCCACAGGCCUGGCAGCAGACGCUGAAGUACCCCUGUAACUCAGCUCUAGCCCCUCAUCUAGUCUGAGACCAAUCAUGCCUGCCCAGAGACCUGCUGGGAGACACACCCAUCUGUGCCCUGGGAAGUAGGCUUGCUACCCUCAGUCCCAUAGCAGACCCUGAAAAAGCUCUAACUUGGCUCUAGCCCCUAUAAACUGCAGUCUGAAUGCAGUCCUGCCCACCCAGGAACCUGCCAGGAGUCACACUGUAUGUACCCUGGGAAGCAGGCUUGCUGAACUCCAUCCCACAGCAGAUCCUACGACAGCUCAGAAAUUUGUCUCCAGUGCCCUUCAAUUGUGAUCCGUGAUCAGUUCUGCCUGUCCAGGAACCUGGCAGGAGAUACGCCCAUCUGUGCCUCCAGAGGCAGGUCUGAGACAUGAGGCUGGGCUGUAGACCCUGAAGCAGCCCUGUAACUCAGUUCUAGCUCCUCUUAUCUGCAGUCUGGGGCCAGUCUUGCCCACCCAGGGUCCCACCAAGUGACCCUUCCCAGGAACCAAGAAGAAGCCACACCUGUCUACAGACCUGGUAACAGGCCCAUUUUCUGCAGACCUUGAAGUGGACCCUUGUACCAGUACCAGCCCUACUGACCAAGAUCCUGGAAGUCCAGUCUGCCCAGGGACCAAACAAUAUUCACGCCAGCUCGAGCCCCUGGUAACAGGCCUGCCAACCACGAACUGUGAUCUGGAGGCAAUCCCAUCAGCCCUGGGACCCAACAAAAGCAGAAAACCAAUGCAUCCACAAAAUAAGAUAUUUAAUAAAUAAAUAGAAAUCAUAAAAAAGAACCAAACAGAAUGACAAAUUUAUUAUCUCACUUAUAAUGUAGAAUCUUGGAAAGUCAAACACAUAGCAUUGCCAGGGCCUGGGGGUGGGGGAUAUGGGGAGGUGUUGGUCAAAGGGUACAAACUUUCAGUUUGGGAAGCUAAUGUACAUCAUGGUGACUAUAGUAAAUAAUACUGUAUUGUUGACUUGAACUUUGCUAACAGAGUAACCUAAUGUUGCUUAAUGCAUACACACACAUACACACACACCGGUAACAAUGUGUGGUGAUGGAUGUGUUGAUUACUUUGAUUGUGAUGAUCAUUACCCAGUGCAUACAUACAUCAAAUCAUCAUGUCGUAUACCUUGAAUAUAUACAAUUUUUGUCAAUUACACCCUAAUAAAUCUGGGAAAAAACUCAAUCCCCAUAAGAACUCUAUGAGGUACAUGAUAUUAGUACCAGCACUUUACAAGUGGGAAGACUGAAGAACAAGAGUAUAAAUAACUUUGUCUUGGUAGCAUAGCUGCUUACUGGUGGAACAGAGACUUGACCCCAGGAAGUCUGGACCCAAAGUCUGCAUCCUAAACCUUGCAAAUGCAUUGCCUUUUAUCUUGGUAGGCAUUCAGUAUUGCUUUUUCUAGAUAGGAAAGACUGUAUUAGUACAUAUGAACAUCAUGCAUAACAUUUAUUCUAAAAAAGAAUUUGACUCACAAUCUUGAUUCUGGGAAUAUCUGAUUUUACUGAAAGAUUAUUUGCUAAUUACUCUUCCCAAAUCUUAUGAAUAGGAUGAAUGAAGCAGGCACAAUUUGAGGCGUUUUGUAUUUAAUACUAUUUUACUGCCUACCAUAUUUUCACCCAAUCUAAAUAUGCAAGGCCCAAAUCAGCAAAUUUUCCACAUCCAUUGUUCCCACUUCCAGUUAGUAUUGACAUUAUAUAUUACAUUUUUUUGUAUCUUCUAUAACCAAUCGAGUUCAUUCUCUCUUCUCCCCGUUCUUUCUGCUCCACUGAGGUUCAAAAGCCCAUUCCUGGUUUAUUGUAGAACCGCCCUAAGCAUUCUCUCCCUCUCCUAUCUGCCUGUUUUAGCCAUAGCAGAGAUUGCUGGUUAAGGAGACUUGGGAAGGUGUCGGCUCAGCAGUUUCCAGGCAUGGCAAGAAGUGUCCUGAGGCAGAGGCACAGUUAGAUGGACAGGGACCAAAAUGAGAUCACUCAUGGUGCUGAAGCAAAAGCAAGUCCAGGGUUUAGAUCAAGCAACAACAUUGUACAGUUGAACCCAAGGGCACAUGUAUCCUGAAGCUAAGUAACUCAAUCUUCAGAGUAUCUCAAUGGUACAGGUCUCUUUCCAAGUCUUGGGAGAGACUGUAGCAAAGGUCCCUAAAAUUAUAUAAGUGCAAAAAUCCAAAACCUAAAUCUUCUCAUUGAAGCUAUGGCUUUAAUCACACCUUCAAGGUGGAAUUUGGUUCAGCUAUUUAGAAAAUUGGAAACCAGAUAAAAUGCAUAUCUGGUGUCCUAAAGCCUGCCUCACUCCACCUUUGAGGAAAUCUUACUUUGUUUUAUAAAUUAUUGAAGCUAACCUGAGUUUGAGAUAGAUCUUAUUCUUUUCCUAAAAGCAUCCAGGAAUAAAAAUGAUUUGCCAGGAUUUUGAGUCCUAGCCUAGGGUCAGUGUGCAUGAGGGUCACUCAUAGCAUGGCAUGAGAACAACUGAAAGAUGCAUGGCCUGUUCAUCAGGACUGUCCAAGAGGUGGAAGUAACUGGGAGCGGACAAUGUAGUGAAUUUAAGCAACUCCUGUAAAGAGAAGAGGUCUGAUGAAAAGUGUGACUCCAGCCCUCAGCCAACAUUGUUUUGCUGGUGAAAUUCAGCUGAUAAGAAGGAUACUUUGAGGAGGAGAAAGAAUUAGCCAAGAGCACCCAGUAGCAUGACAGAGGAGUGUGGGAGAAAGGGAGAAGCUGUUCCCCUCCCUGUCACUUGGGGAGUUAAGAGGGUGAGGCAGUGAAUGGGAAGGUACAUCAGAUUUCCAAGAACAAAGGUUCUUGAGACUAUGCGGCAGCCUCAGAUCCUUCUUCCUCCCAGCUGCCCCAAGGAUUCAUUGCCAAGCCAGCAGCCACUCUGAGCUCCUGAGAAAAAAAGCAUCGCAGAACCUCAGAGCUGGCUGAGCUGCAUGGCUAGACAUUCAACAGUGCCAUGGUGAGCCACAAACCGAGAAGGUCAGGGUGGAGGAAGCACUUAGAAAAAUGGGAUUGAGAAUAUAGAAAAUGAACAAUGAAUAAAGCUCAGUCUUUGGGAGGUGAUCAGGGUGAAAAAGAUGGGAGUAAGAGUUUGUAUUAUGCUGUUCUUGCAUUGCUAUAAAGACAUACCUGAGACUGGGUAAUUUAUAAAGAAAAG
This 4858-nucleotide long non-coding RNA is filed under the name Homo sapiens (human). RNAcentral's name for it is "HSALNT0180325". Lineage: Eukaryota; Metazoa; Chordata; Mammalia; Primates; Hominidae. The record is from RNAcentral.